UAAGAAACAUAAGCUUAACCUCAGAGAUAUA
Molecule: non-coding RNA, 31 nt
Filed under: Mus musculus (house mouse)
Lineage: Eukaryota; Metazoa; Chordata; Mammalia; Rodentia; Muridae
Source: RNAcentral